AAAUUCUUGAGGACUAAAGAUGGGUACAGCUCUGCGUAUGACAUAGGAAUCGGGUCGAAAGAGACCUUCUUCCUCUCAAAGUUUUGUUGCUGGUGAUGAUUGUUGUUGGAAUUGUUGUUGGAAUUGUUGUUGUUGUUGUAAGUGUUUGUUCUUUGUUGCGGUUGUUGUAUUUGACGCUGAUUUUGAUACCGAUGUUGUUG
Molecule: long non-coding RNA, 200 nt
Filed under: Lathyrus oleraceus (garden pea)
Lineage: Eukaryota; Viridiplantae; Streptophyta; Magnoliopsida; Fabales; Fabaceae
Description: Pisum sativum (pea) long non-coding RNA (PSAT_LNC032647)
Source: RNAcentral